GACGAACGCUGGCGGCGUGCUUAACACAUGCAAGUCGAACGGAAAGGCCCUGCUUUUGUGGGGUGCUCGAGUGGCGAACGGGUGAGUAACACGUGAGUAACCUGCCCUUGACUUUGGGAUAACUUCAGGAAACUGGGGCUAAUACCGGAUAGGAGCCCCUGCUGCAUGGUGGGGGUUGGAAAGUUUCGGCGGGCGGGGAUGGACGCGCGGCUUAUCAGCUUGUUGGUGGGGUAGUGGCUUACCAAGGCUUUGACGGGUAGCCGGCCUGGGAGGGUGACCGGCCACAUUGGGACUAAGAUACGGCCCAGACUCCUACGGGAGGCAGCAGUGGGGAAUAUUGCACAAUGGGCGGAAGCCUGAUGCAGCAACGCCGCGUGCGGGAUGACGGCCUUCGGGUUGUAAACCGCUUUCGCCUGUGACGAAGCGUGAGUGACGGUAAUGGGUAAAGAAGCACCGGCUAACUACGUG
Molecule: ribosomal RNA, 468 nt
Filed under: uncultured bacterium
Lineage: Bacteria
Description: partial 16S ribosomal RNA
Rfam family: Bacterial small subunit ribosomal RNA
Source: RNAcentral